RNAcentral lists this long non-coding RNA (1036 nucleotides) under Lynx pardinus (Iberian lynx). The record is from RNAcentral. Lineage: Eukaryota; Metazoa; Chordata; Mammalia; Carnivora; Felidae.
AGACCUUGAGGUGAUUCUGUGCUCAAGAAGCAGAGACGUGGAGUCACUGAAUGAAAAUGAAAGAACAGGCAGUGUCUACGGUCAGAACUGAAAGGUUUUAGUUUACCUAGUUAAUUCCUUAGAUUUACAUCUUAGUUCCCUCCUUAUCUUGCAUGUGCAUAUAAACUUAGGCUUACUGAGCCAUUUUAUUUUUCUCCCCAAAUAAGACUAAUUUUAUAGGAGACAUAGGGGCCACUGCAGCAGCUUAGCUGAGGAACGUAUGAGAAACUGUUCAUUUUCUGUCCCCUCCUGUCUUAGGCUGAUCUGUCCCUUGAUGUGCUACCUGCUUCUGCUACCGACCCAUACUGCAGACUUCUCAUUCAUCCCCAAGGCCUCCAAGCAAUGUCCAAUAGGGAAUCGACUCUAAAAGGAACCAGACCAGACCAGACCAGACCAAAAAGGUGUGCAGCCCUUUCAUUGUGGUGAUUGAGGGAAGGAAAGAAUGGGAGGGGGUAUACAUGUGUAGUGGAUGGAAGGGAAACAGACUGUCAAAUUACUAUAUCUCUUCAGUUUCUUUUAGAAUAGAAUUCUGCAACCAUACUAUCACUACUGUGUAAAUAUAGGGGAAGUUCAAGAUGGUGACCUUGAUUAGAAUAUGUCUGGAGAGGAAUAAAUGGAGUGUGUGAGAUAAGAGACCAUUGGUUAUGAAAGAUGUUGAAGUCCUGAAAUAAUGUGACCAUCUGAGGAAUUUUUUUAAGCCAGAGUUUAUAAAAAUAUCACCAAUACAGCCUGCCCCCUCACUGCCCGCCACAGGAGACUUCUUGGACUGGAGACAUUUGUUUAAUAAUAGCUUGUCUCUGAUAUUCCCAGUAGCUACCUCUCUGAGGAGAGGAUAGCAAACAAACGUUCAGGACAUCAUCCUACAAAGUUCCAGUAGCAGUGACGCCUACACGGAAGACUUGGAACUGCAAACAGAGGCUGGGGUCACCUCAGUGACAUCUGACGCCGUCCAACCACAAGUUCGAUUUUUGUUCUGUGGGGCGAGAAAGACUGUACU